Small nuclear RNA from Choloepus hoffmanni (Hoffmann's two-fingered sloth), 123 nucleotides. Lineage: Eukaryota; Metazoa; Chordata; Mammalia; Pilosa; Megalonychidae. The record is from Ensembl.
GUACCGUAUCAAAAGAGAGGUUAAUGCUCCCCUUGACAAGGAUGAAAGAGGCCUCAGGCCUGCACAACAUGUAUUUGGUUAAGGCACUGCUACCUACUCUGUGGCAUCUAACCAUCAUUUUUC